RNAcentral lists this ribosomal RNA (170 nucleotides) under uncultured bacterium. RNAcentral's name for it is "partial 16S ribosomal RNA". It matches the Rfam family "Bacterial small subunit ribosomal RNA", at positions 337 to 524 of the family's 1533-position model. The record is from RNAcentral.
UCCUACGGGAGGCAGCAGUGAGGAAUCUUCCACAAUGGGGGAAACCCUGAUGGAGCAACGCCGCGUGCAGGAUGAAGGCCUUCGGGUUGUAAACUACUUUUAUAAGUGAAGAAUAUGACGGUAACUUAUGAAUAAGCACCGGCUAACUACGUGCCAGCAGCCGCGGUAAU